This 747-nucleotide long non-coding RNA is filed under the name Helianthus annuus (common sunflower). RNAcentral describes it as "hypothetical non coding rna". Lineage: Eukaryota; Viridiplantae; Streptophyta; Magnoliopsida; Asterales; Asteraceae. The record is from RNAcentral.
UCUUUCUCUAACCCUGUAACCUAAGCUCCUCACCACCACCACUCCUGCCGCCGACCACCACAACCGCCCUAACAUCACCACCGUAAGCACAAUCACCGCCUAACAUUCUCACUCCAUGUCUCUCUUUUCUUGGUCGAUUGCAGCUGUGGAUUGAUGUCAGAGGCUGGUGCCCAGAUCUGCAAAAUCGAAGUUUGGGAGGCUAGUGGAAUGGUGUGGUUGUGUUUGAUUCAGAGGUGGGUUUGCUCGAUUUAGUUAAUCAUUACAUCCCAUUUGAUUCGGAGGUGCGGUUGUGUUUGAUUCAGAGGUUGGUUUGCUUGAUUCAGAGGUUGGAUCAGAUGCUUGCUUCUAUGCAUAGUGCAAGUGUUGAAGAAGCAAAGGCAUCACAUUUGUAUAGUUAUAAACAUGAGUUUAUAGGGCUUGUAGUGUCUAUCACAGUGGUGGUGGCGGAUUAGGUGGUUGUGGGGGUUGGUUGGAAAUAAAGAACUGAGAUUGAGAUAAAAGAGAUUGGUGGUGGUUAUGGUGGUGGUGGUGGGGAAAAAAAAGGGAAAGAAUGAAAAAGGUAAGAGAUAUAAGUGAGUUUUUAAAGUUGGGUUUUAGUUUUCUUUAAUUAAGUUAGUAAAAUAGCUAAACUACCCCUAACUGAUUAGAUAUAACUGAAAAUUUUAACUUGAUUAGUGCUAAAGGACAAAAGAUGUAGUGAGUUUUUCGAAUAAAGGAUUAUAACUGUAAUUAUUAAAGUUAAAGAUU